Molecule: long non-coding RNA, 3606 nt
Filed under: Drosophila guanche
Lineage: Eukaryota; Metazoa; Arthropoda; Insecta; Diptera; Drosophilidae
Source: RNAcentral
UUCAAGUCGUCUGUAAAACAUCAAAAUUUAAAAAUUUCCAAAAUUUUCUAUAUUCAUUUUUUUGCUGCAAGUAAGAAUGACAAAAUUUUACCAUUAAAAUUAAUAUAUUAGUGUAUGUUGUUCGUAAUACGGCGGCUUCCUGUCGCUUCAGAUAAAUCCUCGGUCCCGAAAUAAGGAGGCGAUACAACGGAUAUGUAUAUAUAUAAAGAUAUGUGUACGUAUGUAGAAUCUACUGUUUAUGUUGACUCGCGUGUACCGGAAUGUACGGGGGUGGGUAGCAACCUGAGCUUAGCUUAGAGGCUGGCUUACAGAGCGAGAGCGAGCUCCGGCUGCUAAGUCUCUGCUGCUACUCUCAACAAACGUAAUUGAACACAUAGGUAUGUAAGGUAUGUAAGCAGGUAGCCAUACCAUACUGAAAUGUGCUGCCAAGUCCAUAAUUUUAGGCCACAAAAAUAAACAGUAAAUAUCAUACCUCCAUGAAAAAUACACUUUCGACCCAGGCAGAUCCCUUCUAAUGUUACAAAACGCAUCCAAAACUGAGACAGACCUAUCCCGAAGUCGGGAAAUUCUCUCCCCACUCAUUCAUUCAAGGCUAACAAGUUUCAAAUGCUUCGCUAACAAACAAAAAAGUAUGUUUUUUUAUGUCGAAGGGUAGCCACAAAUUUUCAUUCAUUUUUAUUUUUUUUAACAUCAUUAGCUUACUCUGCAGGAGUUCGGAAGCUUCAUUUAUAGAUGUGAAGCCGAAUUUUUUAUUCAGGAAUUUUAUUCAUUCUCUUCAAUAGUAUUUUUUCAAACACUUUAGAGAAGAUUGUCAACAUACUAAUGGGACGGUUCUAUUUUGUUUGGCUAAUUAUGAUCCUAAAUCAUAAUGAUCUCUGCACAUUUCCGUUGCCUUGGAAAGUGGCUUUUAGCUGGUUUCUUUAGGUAUUUAGUAGCCCUCCAUAGGUUGUAUUCAUUGUUGCUGGAAUUAGGGUCUAAGUUUCUCAGAUACGCAGCUAGAGAUUCAUUGCGUAAGUUCGACAGCAGUUGUCUAAGCUCAGAUGCAGCCUUGUUGUAUAAUCUUUUGUUAGCAGGGUAGUGAGUUUCUUGCCAGCGUCUUCGCAGGUUCCUUUUAGUUUGUAUUUUUUGUCGAAGUUCGGUUGAAAGGUACAAUUGGUUUGGGAAAUGUCCAGGCUUAUAGCUGAGUCUAAAUAGCUUUUAAAUGCGUUAAUGUCUGUAGAGGCUGUAAUGACUUUAUAGACCUUUUCCAACAUAUGGGCUAUUGUGCUGUAAGUUGCUAUUAUUGGAGAAUGAUCUGAGUUAAGGUCAAAGCUCUCCAUUACUCGCAUGUGUGACUGUGGGAUUCCAGAGAAUACUACGAAAUCAAUCAAAUCUGGAAUUUUUCGACCAUCAGUUGGCCAGUAUGUGGGCACACCAGUUGACAAAGUUGUUAUUNUAGCUAAUUAUGAUCCUAAAUCAUAAUGCUCUCUGCACAUUUCCGUUGCCUUGGAAAGUGGCUUUUAGCUGGUUUCUUUAGGUAUUUAGUAGCCCUCCAUAGGUUGUAUUCAUUGUUGCUGGAAUUAGGGUCUAAGUUUCUCAGAUACGCAGCUAGAGAUUCAUUGCGUAAGUUCGACAGCAGUUGUCUAAGCUCAGAUGCAGCCUUGUUGUAUAAUCUUUUGUUAGCAGGGUAGUGAGUUUCUUGCCAGCGUCUUCGCAGGUUCCUUUUAGUUUGUAUUUUUUGUCGAAGUUCGGUUGAAAGGUACAAUUGGUUUGGGAAAUGUCCAGGCUUAUAGCUGAGUCUAAAUAGCUUUUAAAUGCGUUAAUGUCUGUAGAGGCUGUAAUGACUUUAUAGACCUUUUCCAACAUAUGGGCUAUUGUGCUGUAAGUUGCUAUUAUUGGAGAAUGAUCUGAGUUAAGGUCAAAGCUCUCCAUUACUCGCAUGUGUGACUGUGGGAUUCCAGAGAAUACUACGAAAUCAAUCAAAUCUGGAAUUUUUCGACCAUCAGUUGGCCAGUAUGUGGGCACACCAGUUGACAAAGUUGUUAUGUUACUGUUUCGUACGCAUUUGUAUAAUUCGGAUCCCUUCGGGUUAGUCAAUCUGAUGGAUGGUCAGCUCCUCUUACUGUGUCGUAUCCAAUAACUCUAAAAAAAGAUUUGCUUGUGAAGUGUGUUUUUGAAAGAAGCAUGACGUCAAUGGCAAUCGUUUUUAAAAAUAAAGAUAUUUCAUUUCCAUGGUUGGAAAGCCCACUGGCAUUCCAUAUUACUAGUUUAGAUUUAUUUGCAUAGCUUAUUUACAAGUAACAUUAUCAUGUUAAGUAAAUUAUUGGUAAGUUGAGAUUGUUUUUCUAGAAGCUGUUCGAUUCUUUCUAGAGACUUGUUCGAGGUACUAACUUUGUAACUUUGUAUAUAUCUAAGUUCUUAUUGUUGGGCUCAAUUUCUAAGUAGAACAAAUUCAAUGACUCUUUGGUUACACGACUUUUAAUAUUACUUAUGUUCCUAACAGCGUGACCUUUGGACUCCACAUCUUGUUUGAUUAAGUCGAUAUCCGUUGAGAAGUGUGAAUUCUUAAUAACAACUCUGAAUGCCCUCUCAUGUUUAAGCUGGUAUGUGUGAAAUCUGACAAAAUCUUUAGUAAGAGUUUUAACAAGUUUUCUGUAUUCUUCAAUAGACUUUACCAUAACUCUCACAUGACCAUCGCGUUGUACUUUAUAAAAGAAAAGCUCUUUUUUUAUUUAAUUCUCGAGGUAAACUAGCAUUCCUUUUAUAUCACUGACUUCAGAUAAGAAUAUAGGUGACGGCUUGGCAGAUUCAUCUAAGGUACCUUCAGUUAUCAUGUGCAGUGCUUCGUUUUCGUCUUCAUUUCCGUUAUUUGGCGUGAAAGUUUUCCGCUUGUAAGCCGACUAGAAAGUACUUAUUAUGUGCUUCAAACUCAUUUCAAGCUAAAAAUACAAAUUAAUGGGAUGCCUUGGAAACUGCGCCAACUGUUUAUUCGACUGUUCCUGCUGCAAGUUCUCAAAAAUAAAUAUCAAGAAUAUACACAACACUGAAUGCUGCUUGGGUAAUGUUUUGCAUGAUUAUUUUAGUGCUUAAAUAAUGACAGACCCUUUAUAGGAUUUCGAAAGAGGCAUAGCAGCAUUUGCUAUUUAUUUUGUUUAUAAUUUGCGGCGAUAAUGCGGCUUCAGCUGAUUCUUCCUCCUCGUUGUGUGGCACCGUGCACCGACUGGCACUCACUCCAGAUUGUUGCUUAUUAAUGCUAAGAAGUAAAGAAUUUUACUAUUUAUGUCCGGUGCGUAUUGUUGUUAUUUAUUGUUAAAAUUAAUUUAUUUACUCCCAGCCUUCAGAUCAGUAUAAACCCAAAAAUUGAAUUGUUAUACUUAUUCCUUUGGAAAGGACGCGCGCCAGAAAGCGAGAUUUGAUUUACAAUUCAUGUAACUAAAUUAACGCAAAGUGCACCAUAAAUAGCACUUAAAUUCAAAACUUAAAACCCCUAGCUACCCGCUAUUUUUAUGCAUUUACAGGGUAUGCACGAGAGCAGGAAAAAUGAAUGUAUAAAUUGUUUUCAGGCCAAAAUUAAUUGAAACUUUAUUUGGAUUAUGAAAUUAGCACACGGCCAGUGGAGUUCUGCCC